Molecule: unclassified non-coding RNA, 333 nt
Filed under: soil metagenome
Description: partial contains 5.8S ribosomal RNA, internal transcribed spacer 2, and large subunit ribosomal RNA
Rfam family: 5.8S ribosomal RNA (bases 1-121)
Source: RNAcentral
GAUGAAGAACGUAGCGAAUUGCGAUAAGUAAUGUGAAUUGCAGAUUUUCAGUGAAUCAUCGAAUCUUUGAACGCACAUUGCGCCCUUUGGUAUUCCUUAGGGCAUGCCUGUUCGAGCGUCAUUUAAACCUUCAAGCUAAGCUUGGUGUUGGGUGACUGUCCGCUUCACGGCGGACUCGCCUCAAAAUUAUUGGCGGCCGGUACAUUGGCUUCGAGCGCAGCAGAAACGCGAACUCGGGCCCGUCGUAUUGGCUCCCAGAAGCUAUCUUCACAAUUUUGACCUCGGAUCAGGUAGGGAUACCCGCUGAACUUAAGCAUAUCAAUAAGCGGAGGA